AGAUAUGAUUCGAGAGUCUUUGGCCAAAGCAUAUGAAUAUGACUUAGGAAGUUUGUUCCAAAUCAUAUUCAAAUGAAUCAUAUAGAUAAGUAUCACAUUGGAUAGUAGACAUGAAACAAACUAUCACCUGAAACAAUGUGAUUAAGAGUAUUGUAUUAGAGAAGGACCGUAUUGCAUUGUAGUUGUAACUAGAUAGGUUCUCCAACCACUUCUACUUAGCUUGGGUAACCAUGAUAUGCUGCUAGGUGUCACUCAUGGUUUGUGGAAGCCCUAAAGAUUAGCAAACACUGAUUUUAAGGGAGAAUUGAAAUGUGGUUUCAAUUCACAAUCGAUCGUUAAGAGUAACAAUCUCCCACUACCUCGCUAAAUGGAACCUAAUGGAUCGUACACCGAGUAAGGAUGUUGGUGAAGA
RNAcentral lists this long non-coding RNA (412 nucleotides) under Malus domestica (apple). RNAcentral's name for it is "long non-coding RNA (MDOM_LNC000317)". Lineage: Eukaryota; Viridiplantae; Streptophyta; Magnoliopsida; Rosales; Rosaceae. The record is from RNAcentral.